UGGGUUGUGAUGAAGCGGUUAACAUCCGGAGCUUUGACCUCCGUAUUCGUAGGUUCGAAUCCUACCAGCCCAG
This 73-nucleotide transfer RNA is filed under the name Ruminococcus sp. AM42-11. It matches the Rfam family "tRNA". Rfam says of the family: Transfer RNA (tRNA) molecules are approximately 80 nucleotides in length. Their secondary structure includes four short double-helical elements and three loops (D, anti-codon, and T loops). Further hydrogen bonds mediate the characteristic L-shaped molecular structure. tRNAs have two regions of fundamental functional importance: the anti-codon, which is responsible for specific mRNA codon recognition, and the 3' end, to which the tRNAs corresponding amino acid is attached (by aminoacyl-tRNA synthetases). tRNAs cope with the degeneracy of the genetic code in two manners: having more than one tRNA (with a specific anti-codon) for a particular amino acid; and 'wobble' base-pairing, i.e. permitting non-standard base-pairing at the 3rd anti-codon position. Lineage: Bacteria; Bacillati; Bacillota; Clostridia; Eubacteriales; Oscillospiraceae. The record is from Rfam by way of RNAcentral.